GACUAUACAUCAUUGCUUCAAUAAACCCACUACUGCAGCAAAACCUGUCCUGCAAUCUCCAAGAUUAUUACAACGGGCGAUGAGGAUAAACACUGCUGACGCAGCAUCUCGCCUCAUGACUUAUGCACAUGAAAUUGGGAUCUUUGGAAGAGGUUGAAGACGCUAUUACCUGGUGCUUAUUUGAGUCUUCACUUCAGGAAAUAUGAGAUUAUUAUGAACACUAUGGGAACCAAGCUUUUCAGCUUCCGAAAUUAUAAAAUCUCACAAUAUUUCUGGCCUCAAGGUGUCUGUACUGGAAUAUUGUUGAAUCAAGAAACCUUUGACAGUGAGUAUAUAAGCAGAAACAUACAAAUCACACUGAGCUGAAAUGAUUCAUCGCCAAAAUCAGCUGCUCCACAGGCAGGCCACACCGAAGCAGGCUCUGGGCAGGUUGGACAACUGGCCCCCAUCUAACCUAACUGCUGGGAAGAUUUCAGUUCUAUCGCUUACAGAACCGAUUCAAUCAGUGCGUACCUACUUCACCUUGGGACAUCAAAACAACUGGAAAAGCAUGUUGAACACCACUGGUCUUCAGCUGUCCCAGCUGUAUGAAAGAAUUCCUCAUUGGACUUUGAUUCUGGACCCUGGACUCACAUGAAACAAUAAUUCUUAUUUUUAUCAUGGUAUCUGCCCUGUACCCCUUUCUUUCCCUUAUCCCUCUUUCAUUGUAAGAAUGCAACAAGGGAUGGACAUUGCAA
Molecule: long non-coding RNA, 737 nt
Organism: Carcharodon carcharias (great white shark)
Lineage: Eukaryota; Metazoa; Chordata; Chondrichthyes; Lamniformes; Lamnidae
Exons: 4
Source: RefSeq, a predicted model, not a curated record